This 1672-nucleotide long non-coding RNA is filed under the name Mytilus galloprovincialis (Mediterranean mussel). Lineage: Eukaryota; Metazoa; Mollusca; Bivalvia; Mytilida; Mytilidae. The record is from RNAcentral.
CUCUUAGGUCAGUCAGUGGGCCCCCACUUAUGAAAAUUUCUGGAUCCGCCACUGGAUUCAAUGUUUUCUAAAUGAUUAAAAAUUGAUGCUGAAUUUAAACAUUUAUCUGGAUGUAAAAACAAGUUGUAAAAAAAAAUCAAAGCAGAACAGUGGAAGGAUAUCAUAUAAAAAUAAGAUGUGAUAUGAUUGACAAGUAAGACUAAUCUCCACCAAGAACAACUAUAUGGCCUUCAAUAAUGAGCAAAAUGUAUAUUUCAUAGUGGGCUAUAAAAGGCCUGAAAUGACUAAUGUAAAACAAUUCAAAUGAGAAGACUAACAACAGCCUUUCUUAUGAACACAACAAUGAGCAAAAACAAAUAUGAUUUUCUGCAACAAACAACAACCGCUGAAUUACAGGCUCCAGACAUUUUACUGGAAGUGACGGGGACUAGUUUAAACUAGAGGCUCUCAAGAGCCUGUGUCGCUCACCUGUUAAUGUGUUUACUGAUGUCGGCCAUCUUCGUUGGUAGGCGGGGUCAUUAGACACUUUUUUUUAAAAUAGAUGCCCUAGUAUUAUGAUUGUGGCCAAGUUUGGUUAAAUUUGGCCAAGUCGUUUUAGAAAAGAUUUUUAUACAAGUUACAAAAAUGACGAAAAGUUGUUCAAUAUUGACUAUAAAGGGCAAUAGCUCCUUAAGGGGUCCUCUAACAAUUUUGAUCAUGCUGACUUAUUUGUAGAUCUUACUUUGCUGAACAUUAUUGCUGUUUACAGUUUAUCUCUAUCUAUAAUAGUAUUCAAGAUAAUAACCAAAAACUGCAAAAUUUCCUUAAAAUCACCAAUUUUAGGGCAGCAACCCAACAACAGGUUGUCCGAUUCAACUCAAAAUUUGUGAGGGGAUAUAUCUUAUUCUGAUGGACAUUUAAAUCUUGAAAGAUUUGCCCUAAAUGUCUUAGUUUCAAAGAUAUAUAGCAAAAACUGCAUUUUACCACUAUGUUCUAAUUUUAGCCCUGUCGGCCAUUUUGUUUGGCAGGCUGGGUCAUCGGACACAUUUUUUAAACUAUAAACCACAAUGAUAAUUGUGGCCAAGUUUGGUUAAAUUUGGCAAAGUAGUUUUGGAGAAGAAGAUUUUUAGAAAAGUUGCAAAAAAUGACGAAAAGUUGUUAAAAAUUGACUAUAAAGGGCAAUAACUCCUUAAGGGGUCAACUGACAAUUUUGGUAGUGUUGACUUAUUUGUAGGUCUUACUUUGCUGAACAUUAUUGCUGUUUACAGUUUAUCUCUAUCUAUAAUAGUAUUCAAGAUAAUAACCAAAAACUGCAAAAUUUCCUUAAAAUAACCAUUUCACAGGCAGCAACCCAACAACAGGUUGUCCUAUUCGUCUGAAAAUUUCAAGGCAGAUAGAUCUUGACCUGAUCAACCAUUUCACCCCUUGUCAGAUUUGCUCUAAAUGCUUUGGUUUUUGAGUUAUAAGCCAAAAACUGUAUUUUACCCCUAUGUUCUAUUUUUAGCCAUGGCGGCCAUCUUGGUUGGUUUGACGGGUCACGCCACACAUUUUUUAAACUAGAUACCCCAAGGAUGAUUGUGGCCAAGUUUGGUGGAAUUUGGCCCAGCAGUUUCAGAGAAGAAGAUUUUUGUAAAAGUUUACGGACGACGGACGACGGACGCCAAGUGAUGAGAAAAGCUCACUUGACCUUUCA